AGCGAACGCUGGCGGCAGGCUUAACACAUGCAAGUCGAGGGGCAGCAUAAUGGAUAGCAAUAUCUAUGGUGGCGACCGGCGCACGGGUGCGUAACGCGUAUGCAACCUACCUUUAACAGGGGGAUAACACUGAGAAAUUGGUACUAAUACCCCAUAAUAUCAUAGAAGGCAUCUUUUAUGGUUGAAAAUUCCGAUGGUUAGAGAUGGGCAUGCGUUGUAUUAGCUAGUUGGUGGGGUAACGGCUCACCAAGGCGACGAUACAUAGGGGGACUGAGAGGUUAACCCCCCACACUGGUACUGAGACACGGACCAGACUCCUACGGGAGGCAGCAGUGAGGAAUAUUGAUCAAUGGACGCAAGUCUGAACCAGCCAUGCCGCGUGCAGGAUGACGGCUCUAUGAGUUGUAAACUGCUUUUGUACGAGGGUAAACGCAGAUACGUGUAUCUGUCUGAAAGUAUCGUACGAAUAAGGAUCGGCUAACUCCGUG
Molecule: ribosomal RNA, 488 nt
Filed under: uncultured bacterium
Lineage: Bacteria
Description: partial 16S ribosomal RNA
Rfam family: Bacterial small subunit ribosomal RNA
Source: RNAcentral